This 1233-nucleotide ribosomal RNA is filed under the name metagenome. RNAcentral's name for it is "bacterial LSU rRNA". It matches the Rfam family "Bacterial large subunit ribosomal RNA", at positions 1564 to 2808 of the family's 2925-position model. The record is from RNAcentral.
UGAAUACGAGACGCUACGGCGUCGAAGCAGUCUAUGUCAUACUUCCAAGAAAAGCUUGCACUGUCAUAAACAAAUAAUGCCUGUACCAUAACCGACACAGGUGGGUAGGUAGAGUAUACUAAGGGGCGCGAGAUAACUCUCUCUAAGGAACUCGGCAAAAUGACUCCGUAACUUCGGGAGAAGGAGUGCCUUAUUUAUAAGGUUGCAAUAACAAGAUCCAAGCAACUGUUACCAAAAACACAGGUCUCCGCUAAGUCGUAAGACGAUGUAUGGGGGCUGACGCCUGCCCAGUGCCAGAAGGUUAAAGAAGUCGGUUAGCAUUAGCGAAGCUGGUAACUGAAGCCCUGGUGAACGGCGGCCGUAACUAUAACGGUCCUAAGGUAGCGAAAUUCCUUGUCGGGUAAGUUCCGACCCGCACGAAAGGCGUAAUGAUUUGGAUACUGUCUCGGAGAGGGACUCGGUGAAAUAGACUUGUCUGUGAAGAUGCGGACUACCUGCACCAGGACAGAAAGACCCUAUGAAGCUUUACUGUAACUUGAAAUUGAAAUUGGACUUUAUUUGCGCAGUAUAGGUGGGAGGUGUUGAGAGUAUUCUUGCGGGAAUAUUGGAGCCAUCAGUGAGAUACCACUCUUGUAAUCUUAGAUUUCUAACUUUGUAUCAUUAUCUGGUCAAAGGACAGUUUCAGGCGGGCAGUUUGACUGGGGCGGUCGCCUCCUAAACGGUAACGGAGGCGCACAAAGGUUUCCUCUGAACGGGUAGAAAUCGUAUCUAGAGUGUAAAGGCAUAAGGAAGCUUGACUGUGAGACCUACAAGUCGAGCAGGGACGAAAGUCGGUCUUAGUGAUCUGACGGUGCUGAGUGGAAAGGCCGUCACUCAACGGAUAAAAGUUACUCUAGGAUAACAGGCUGAUCUCCCCCAAGAGUUCACAUCGACGGGGAGGUUUGGCACCUCGAUGUCGGCUCAUCGCAUCCUGGGGCGGUAGUACGUCCCAAGGGUUGGGCUGUUCGCCCAUGAAAGCGGUACGCGAGCUGGGUUCAGAACGUCGUGAGACAGUUCGGUCCAUAUCCGGUGUAGGCGUUAGAAUAUUGAGAGGAGCCUUCUUUAGUACGAGAGGACCGAGAAGGACAUACCUCUGGUGUACCAGUUAUCGUGCCAACGGUAAACGCUGGGUAGCUAUGUAUGGAGAGGAUAACCGCUGAAAGCAUCUAAGUGGGAAGCCCACCUCAAGAUAAG